This 441-nucleotide ribosomal RNA is filed under the name uncultured bacterium. RNAcentral's name for it is "partial 16S ribosomal RNA". It matches the Rfam family "Bacterial small subunit ribosomal RNA", at positions 339 to 795 of the family's 1533-position model. The record is from RNAcentral.
CUACGGGUGGCUGCAGUGGGGAAUAUUGGGCAAUGGGCGCAAGCCUGACCCAGCAACGCCGCGUGAGGGAAGAAGGUUUUCGGAUUGUAAACCUCUGUCCUUGGGGACGAAGAAGUGACGGUACCCAAGGAGGAAGCCCCGGCUAACUACGUGCCAGCAGCCGCGGUAAUACGUAGGGAGCAAGCGUUGUCCGGAAUUACUGGGCGUAAAGGGUGCGUAGGCGGCAUAUUAAGUCAGGUGUGAAAUACUCGGGCUCAACCCGAGGGGUGCAUUUGAAACUGAUAAGCUUGAGUGUGAGAGAGGAAAGUGGAAUUCCUAGUGUAGCGGUGGAAUGCGUAGAUAUUAGGAGGAACACCAGUGGCGAAGGCGACUUUCUGGCUCAUAACUGACGCUGAGGCACGAAAGCGUGGGGAGCAAACAGGAUUAGAUACCCUUGUAGUC